This 72-nucleotide transfer RNA is filed under the name Prevotella pallens. RNAcentral's name for it is "tRNA-Ser(aga)". It matches the Rfam family "tRNA". From Rfam's summary of the family: Transfer RNA (tRNA) molecules are approximately 80 nucleotides in length. Their secondary structure includes four short double-helical elements and three loops (D, anti-codon, and T loops). Further hydrogen bonds mediate the characteristic L-shaped molecular structure. tRNAs have two regions of fundamental functional importance: the anti-codon, which is responsible for specific mRNA codon recognition, and the 3' end, to which the tRNAs corresponding amino acid is attached (by aminoacyl-tRNA synthetases). tRNAs cope with the degeneracy of the genetic code in two manners: having more than one tRNA (with a specific anti-codon) for a particular amino acid; and 'wobble' base-pairing, i.e. permitting non-standard base-pairing at the 3rd anti-codon position. The record is from RNAcentral. Lineage: Bacteria; Pseudomonadati; Bacteroidota; Bacteroidia; Bacteroidales; Prevotellaceae. RNAcentral also lists the same sequence under 1 other name.
GGAUAGGUGGCGGAAUUGGUAGACGUUGGUGCAGAGAUGUAACCCUUGCAGGUUCGAGUCCUGCCCUAUCCA